UAAAAGGUAAGCUAAAUAAAGCUAUUGAGUUCAUACCUCAAAUAUAAAUAUAUUUUCUUUUAA
Molecule: transfer RNA, 63 nt
Filed under: Cerophytidae sp. BMNH 900085
Lineage: Eukaryota; Metazoa; Arthropoda; Insecta; Coleoptera; Cerophytidae
Description: tRNA-Met
Source: RNAcentral